Molecule: ribosomal RNA, 757 nt
Filed under: uncultured bacterium
Lineage: Bacteria
Description: bacterial SSU rRNA
Rfam family: Bacterial small subunit ribosomal RNA
Source: RNAcentral
GAUGAACGCUAGCGGCAGGCUUAACACAUGCAAGUCGAGGGGUAUAUAUCAGUAGCUUGCUACAGAUAUAGAGACCGGCGCACGGGUGCGUAACGCGUAUGCAAUCUACCUUAAUCAGAGGGAUAGCCCAGAGAAAUUUGGAUUAAUACCACAUAGUAUUAUAGAUUGGCAUCAAUCAAUAAUUAAAGAUUUAUCGGAUUAAGAUGAGCAUGCGUCCCAUUAGCUAGUUGGUAUGGUAACGGCAUACCAAGGCGAUGAUGGGUAGGGGUCCUGAGAGGGAGAUCCCCCACACUGGUACUGAGACACGGACCAGACUCCUACGGGAGGCAGCAGUGAGGAAUAUUGGACAAUGGAGGCAACUCUGAUCCAGCCAUGCCGCGUGUAGGAAGACUGCCUUAUGGGUUGUAAACUACUUUUAUACAGGAAGAAACCUACCCUUGCGAGGGUAAUUGACGGUACUGUAAGAAUAAGGAUCGGCUAACUCCGUGCCAGCAGCCGCGGUAAUACGGAGGAUCCAAGCGUUAUCCGGAAUCAUUGGGUUUAAAGGGUUCGUAGGCGGUUAAAUAAGUCAGUGGUGAAAGUUUUCAGCUCAACUGGAAAAAUGCCAUUGAUACUGUUUAGCUUGAAUUAGUGUGAAGUAACUAGAAUAAGUAGUGUAGCGGUGAAAUGCAUAGAUAUUACUUAGAAUACCGAUUGCGAAGGCAGGUUACUAACACUAUAUUGACGCUGAUGGACGAAAGCGUGGGGAGCGAACAGG